GAUGAACGCUGGCGGCGUGCCUAACACAUGCAAGUCGAACGGAGAUUACGGACGGAAGUUUUCGGAUGGAAGCCUGUAAUUCUUAGUGGCGGACGGGUGAGUAACGCGUGGGCAACCUGCCCUAUACAGGGGGAUAGCAGCUGGAAACGGCUGGUAAGACCGCAUAAGUCGGUUAAAUCGCAUGAUUUGAUCGGGAAAUGAGCAAUCAGGUAUAGGAUGGGCCCGCGUCCGAUUAGCCAGUUGGCAGGGUAAAAGCCUACCAAAGCGACGAUCGGUAGCCGGACUGAGAGGUCGGCCGGACACAUUGGGAGUGAGACACGGCCCAAACUCCUACGGGAGGAAGCAGGGGGGGAUAAUGCACAAUGGAGGAAACUCGGAUGAAGCGACGCCGCGUGAGUGAGGAAGUAGUUCGGUAUGUAAAGCUCUAUCAGCAGGGAAGCUGAUGACGGUAACUGACUAAGAAGCCACGGCUAACUACGUG
Molecule: ribosomal RNA, 481 nt
Filed under: uncultured bacterium
Lineage: Bacteria
Description: partial 16S ribosomal RNA
Rfam family: Bacterial small subunit ribosomal RNA
Source: RNAcentral